RNAcentral lists this microRNA precursor (80 nucleotides) under Aedes aegypti (yellow fever mosquito). Its description in RNAcentral is "microRNA aae-mir-11910 precursor". The record is from miRBase by way of RNAcentral. Lineage: Eukaryota; Metazoa; Arthropoda; Insecta; Diptera; Culicidae.
UUGAUCGAUCGCAUCCGUCUGACCUGCUCUCGCGUGUUGCUCUCAGCAGGCCCGCUGUGUGUUGGAUCGGUGCUGUUCAU